AUACCUACCUGGCGUCAGGAUCCCGUGAUCAUGCAGGCGGUUCCCCCGGGGUGCGGCUACUCCAUUGCACUGCGGAGUGGUUGACCCUUGCGAUUAUUCGUAUAUUUCAUAAGUUUCACUUCUACCAUGUGUGACUUGCACACACACACACACAUU
Bombyx mandarina (wild silkworm) is the source of this 156-nucleotide small nuclear RNA. NCBI's taxonomy places the organism in Eukaryota, Metazoa, Arthropoda, Insecta, Lepidoptera, Bombycidae. The record is from RefSeq and is a predicted model, not a curated record.